This 501-nucleotide ribosomal RNA is filed under the name uncultured bacterium. RNAcentral's name for it is "partial 16S ribosomal RNA". It matches the Rfam family "Bacterial small subunit ribosomal RNA", at positions 30 to 523 of the family's 1533-position model. The record is from RNAcentral.
AUUGAACGCUGGCGGAAUGCUUUACACAUGCAAGUCGAGCGGCAGCACGGACUUCGGUCUGGUGGCGAGUGGCGAACGGGUGAGUAAUGUAUCGGAACGUGCCCAGUCGUGGGGGAUAACGUAGUGAAAAUUACGCUAAUACCGCAUACGAUCUAUGGAUGAAAGCGGGGGAUCGACAGACCUCGCGCGAUUGGAGCGGCCGACAUCAGAAUAGGUAGUUGGUGGGGUAAAGGCCCACCAAGCCAACGAUCUGUAGCUGGUCUGAGAGGGACGACCAGCCACACUGGAACUGAGACACGGUCCAGACUCCUACGGGAGGCAGCAGUGGUGAAUUUUGGACAAUGGGCGAAAGCCUGAUCCAGCCAUUCCGCGUGCAGGAUGAAGGCCCUCGGGUUGUAAACUGCUUUUGUACAGAACGAAAAGGUUUCUACUAAUACUAGGAGCUCAUGACGGUACUGUAAGAACAAGCACCGGCUAACUACGUGCCAGCAGCCGCCGCAG